This 474-nucleotide long non-coding RNA is filed under the name Setaria viridis. RNAcentral's name for it is "long non-coding RNA (SVIR_LNC009160)". Lineage: Eukaryota; Viridiplantae; Streptophyta; Magnoliopsida; Poales; Poaceae. The record is from RNAcentral.
AAAACGAUAUGCAGGCUAAUUCUGCGUUGGGAGAGGAUCGGGUAAGGUACACAUGGAAAUAAGGUAGUUGUAGUAGAUUAUGUGCAACCCAUAUAGUUUUGACAUGUGAGUAUUUUAGAAACGGACAAUUAAUGGAUAUCAAGAAAAUUAUAAAAAGAAUGAAAAUCCGCAUUAACAUAUCAACAAUGAUAAUACACGUGAAAGGAAUAAACGUUAGUAAUAAGAAAAAUAAAAAUCUUUGUCCACGAACUAUUCAAUCACGAAGAGAGGACCAAGAAGAUACUACCCACAUACACAUCCACAAAUUCAGGAGUUGCUUUAUGACAGAUGUUAAUGACAGAUGUCAGCACGAUGGCAUUACAUUUUCAGAAGUAGGAGUGUGCCAAGUGUAUGCAUAUCGGCUUCUCGGAGAACAUGUGUCCAUUCUGAGAAAUGGCAUAGUACAUGGAAACGUAGUACUCAGUGCAAUCACUC